GUACCGUCCAAACGUUAUUCGGAAUUACUGGGCUUAAAGGGUACGUAGGCGGCGCUGUGUCUCCGGNGGUGAAAUCCCUCGGCUCAACCGAGGAACUGCGCCCGAUACUGCAGUGCUUGAGGGAGACAGAGGUAAGCGGAACUGAUGGUGGAGCGGUGAAAUGCGUUGAUAUCAUCAGGAACACCAGUGGCGAAAGCGGCUUACUGGGUCUCUUCUGACGCUGAGGUACGAAAGCUAGGGGAGCGAAGGGGAUUAGAUACCCCCGUAGUCCUAGCCGUAAACGUUGAGCACUUGAUCGAGGAUCCCCCCAUAGGUUCUCGGUCGUAGCGAAAGUGUUAAGUGCUCCGCCUGGGGAGUAUGGUCGCAAGGCUG
This 372-nucleotide ribosomal RNA is filed under the name uncultured bacterium. RNAcentral describes it as "bacterial SSU rRNA". It matches the Rfam family "Bacterial small subunit ribosomal RNA", at positions 527 to 896 of the family's 1533-position model. The record is from RNAcentral.